RNAcentral lists this long non-coding RNA (2823 nucleotides) under Pan troglodytes (chimpanzee). RNAcentral's name for it is "long non-coding RNA NONPTRT003043". Lineage: Eukaryota; Metazoa; Chordata; Mammalia; Primates; Hominidae. The record is from RNAcentral.
CUUCAUCAAAGGCUAUGAGUGUCUUGAAAAAGAGAAGCGUCUCUUUCCUCAGUUCUGCGGGUGUCCCAGGCUGAGUGCUCUACCAUGUGGCUCACUAAGUCACAUCCUCACACAAACCUUCAGAGAGAAGUCCGUUAUUCUUCUCAUUUUACCCAUCGGGAAGCUGAAACUCCAGAAACAGUAAGUCACUUGUCCAAGAACACCCGGACCGGAAGGGCAUGUUUCCAUGUCUGCAUCUCAAAAUGAGUAAGUUGCUAGACCACACAAAAUUGUGUUACCCCUAAAAUAAGACACUGGCACAGCAGCUGGUACACAGUAAGUGCUCAAGAAAUGAGUAGCAUGAAAGAGCCCGCCCGACAGGCAGCUGCUGAGAAAUUCACUUGGCUUCAGGCCGGUCAAACCUUCCAGCGUGGAUGAGAAUCCAGUGGUAGCAGGUUGUACAAUCUCAUUUCAUCUCAGACACCCAGAGUUUGGACCUUCAAGAUGCAGCGCACAAAUGGAUGUAAAUGAGAUGCAAAUCAAACUGUCCCCAGAUAAACAGGAAACCAAAUAUCUCUAGUGAUAGCUCUUUCCUCUCCUUAUGGAGAUCAAGGACAUGGGCUGCCUCUGAAGGCAAUCCAAAGCUCACAUCUGUCAGACUUCACCACUACCACCAGCUCUCCCAGACAGACAAUGCCAUUGCCAAGCACUGCCAUGGCAGUGCUUUCAGGGGCCCCAAUUCCAGGGCCUUCUUUCCCCUCAUCCUCCUUGAGGAGUGAGGGCCUCACAGGCUUUGAUCUUUGGAUCAAAAGAGGUGAAAUUUCUUCUUGCUCAGGACUUGGUGAGUGAGAUCAGCUCCAAGUAGUGCCCCUGUCAGAGGCAUCUGCAUGACAACAGCAAUUAUAACUGCAAUAAUGUGAUGUAACAAGAAAUAUAUACUUGGUCUCUGCCCCUGGUUCCAGGCACAGAGCUCUUAAAACCCUUGUAAUGUUCUGAGCAACAAGGGUUGUGAGGUGCAUCUUUUGUUCUAAUAAUGUUUGGUCUAUGACCCCAGUUCCUGACAGAGCUCCUAAUCCCUUGGAAUUUCCUGGGUGAUAGGGGCAUUUUUUUUUCUAAUUAGGUGACUCUUGUUGGGAUCCUGGGUAACUUCAGGAUGGGGGAUGGUCCCCAGAAAGACCUGGUCAUAAUUGAAGGCUUGAAACUUUCAGCUCCCUCCUCAUCCUCCAGGAAGGAGAGGGCCUGGGGAUUAAAUUAAUAAGUGACCAUACGUAUGUGAUGACGCCUGCAUAAAAAUCCCUGAACUACAGGGUUCGGAGAGUUUCUGGAUUGCUGAACACAAGGAGGUCCCUGGAGGGUGGUGCCCCUAGAGAGCAUGGAGGCUCCACGCCCCUUCUCUCUUACCUUGCUCUAGGCAUCUCUUCCAUCUGGCUGCUUUUCUGUAUCUUUUGUAACAUGCUUUGUAAUAAAUGUGUAAACACAAAUAAUUGCCCUGAGUUCUGUGAGCUGCUCUAGCAAAGUCAUUAAACCUGAAGAGAGAGUCAUAGGAACCCCCACUUUAUGGCUGGUUGGCCAGAAGCACAGGCCACAGCCUGGAGCUCACGAUUCAUAUCCGAAGUCGGGGGCAGUCUUGUGGAACUCAGCCCUUAACUUGUGGGAUAUGAUGCCAUCUCCAGGCAGAUAAUGUCAGAAAUGAAUUAGAGGACACCCAUCUAUUUUCCCCUGGAGAACUGGUUGUUAGUGAGGAGAAACCCACACACAUUUUGGUGAGCAGAAGUGAAGUGUUCUGUAGUGAGUGGUGUGUGAGUAGGAAAAGCAAUGGGGGUUUUCCUAUCUGUUAUGAUAACAAUCAUAGGCAUCGAUAGAGUCCUGCAUGGUAUGAUGAGAUGCAGGGACAAUAAGAGCUCUGCAUGGUACGCUGAGAUGCAUGGUACGCUGAGAUGCACGGUACGCUGAGAUGCAUGGUACGAUGAGAGCCCUACAUGGUAUGCUGAGAUGCAUGGUAUGCUGAGAUGCAUGGUACGCUGAGAUGCACGGUACGCUGAGAUGCACGGUAUGCUGAGAUGCAUGGUACGAUGAGAGCCCUACAUGGUAUGCUGAGAUGCAUGGUAUGAUGAGAUGCAAGGACGAUGAGAGAUCUGUAUGGUACGCUGAGAUGCACGGUAUGCCGAAAUGUGAGGUACGCUGAGAUGCAAGGUACGAUGAGAGCCCUGCAUGGUAUGCUGAGAUGCAUGGUAUGCUGAGAUGCAUGGUAUGCUGAGAUGCAUGGUACGCCGAGAUGCAUGGUACGAUGAGAGCCCUGCAUGGUAUGCUGAGAUGCAUGGUGUGCUGAGAUGCAGGGACGAUGAGAGCUCUGCAUGGUGCGCUGAGAUGCACGGUACGCUGAGAUGCAUGGUAUGAUGAGAUGCAUGGUAUGAAGAGAUGCAGGGACGAUGAGAGCCCUGUACGGUACAAUGAGAUGCCGGGAUGCAGGGCAUUAACAAAAUGCAAAUGCAAACGCAAAUUCCUGCAGGUGACGUGCACAAUGAAACCAGGAGUGUGGAAGGAAACCACCAGGGCAGCCCAAGGAUGGCAAGUAACAUUGGACCCUUGGUGCCUGGGAAGCAAUAGGAACUGGGAUGAACCAGAAGACCUGCCUUGUCUCCAGCUGGAGCCCCCACUUGGAUGGAGCCUGCUACUGCUAUGUAGGAACUGCAGGCCCAGAUCAUCUAAUACUUCAAAAGAAGCUAAUGAUCUUGACUUGUAACAUGACAUUCCUGAUUACUGGUUCAAUAUGUUGUAACACCACCAGUGAGCUUAACAAAAAUCUGAGGUUUCUGGCUCAUGGGCUUCCUGUUUAUAAGACCU